GACCUCUCUCCCACAGGGCCAUAGGGGAUCUUUUUUCUCUUCAGCCAGGGUUGGAGGCCAAGACAGCCCUUGAGAAUCAUUAUCUGGGCAGCCUUGUUUACCUCCCUUGGGCAUUU
This is a non-coding RNA of Cercocebus atys (sooty mangabey), 116 nucleotides long. NCBI's taxonomy places the organism in Eukaryota, Metazoa, Chordata, Mammalia, Primates, Cercopithecidae. The record is from Ensembl.